AAUUGAGGCUGCUCCCUGCCUGGGGCCUACCCUAACGCAAAAGCCCAUUGGCUAGAAUUGCUUAAAUGUCCCAUACAAAUAUAAACACCUCGAUAGUGCUGGGAAGAUUAAAGGAACAGCUUAUUGAUAUUGUAUAUGCUCUUGUUUGGAUGUGUGACGGGGAAGACAGCAUUUAACUGCUGGUAUGCAAUGCUGAACCUGGACUGCAUGAAGAGGUUUUCGUUCACUGAUGUUGGAUGUGUGCCCAGACUGCCAUAGUAGAAUUUAGGGAAAACACAGAAAGGAGGAGAGACACAGAAUGGUUUUUGGGAACAUCCAUGUGGGGCAGAAGAAUAAAUACAUGUGAAGACCAUGUUUCCAGAAAUGAAAUGACUGGCCACUGGGCAACAGUUAUGAGUCCCCCAAAUCCCUUCCUGGUCCUCUCCAUUUGCACUUGAAGGUAGGAGCCGGAAAAAGACCUCACUAACUC
RNAcentral lists this long non-coding RNA (469 nucleotides) under Homo sapiens (human). Its description in RNAcentral is "HSALNT0010113". The record is from RNAcentral. Lineage: Eukaryota; Metazoa; Chordata; Mammalia; Primates; Hominidae.